CGCUUUUUGAUUUUGAUUUAAAGUCGUACCUGCCCUAUGAAUAUUAGGUUAAAUGGCUGCGGUAUUUUGACCGUACAAAGGUAGCAUAAUCAUUAGUUUCUUAAUUAGAAACUUGUAUGAAUGGUUUAAUGAGAAAAAUUCUGUCUCUAGUUUAUUUUUAAUGAACUUUAUUUUUGAGUUAAAAAGCUCAAAUUCUUUUGUAGGACGAGAAGACCCUAUAGAGUUUAAUAGUAGAAUUAAUUUGUUUAUUUAGGAAUUAUUAAUAUUUAAAUUUAUUUUACUAAUUUGUUGGGGUGACCGAAAAACUUAUUUAACUUUUUUUUUUCUAUUCAUUUAUUUAUGUUUGGUUGAUCCAUUAUUUAUGAUUAAAAGAUUAAAUUACCUUAGGGAUAACAGCGUAAUUUUUUUGGAGAGUUCUAAUCAAUAAAAAAGUUUGCGACCUCGAUGUUGGAUUAAAGUUUACAGUUGGUGCAGUAGCUUGAUUGUUAGGUCUGUUCGACCUUUAAAACUUU
RNAcentral lists this ribosomal RNA (512 nucleotides) under Helochares obscurus. RNAcentral's name for it is "partial 16S ribosomal RNA". It matches the Rfam family "Bacterial large subunit ribosomal RNA", at positions 1832 to 2597 of the family's 2925-position model. The record is from RNAcentral. Lineage: Eukaryota; Metazoa; Arthropoda; Insecta; Coleoptera; Hydrophilidae.